GCUUAGAUAACUUAAAGGACAAAGUGAAACUCUGAAGAAGUUUAAAUUUAGGUUCAAUUCCUAAUCUAGGCA
This 72-nucleotide transfer RNA is filed under the name Pneumocystis sp. 'ludovicianus'. RNAcentral's name for it is "tRNA-Phe". It matches the Rfam family "tRNA". From Rfam's summary of the family: Transfer RNA (tRNA) molecules are approximately 80 nucleotides in length. The record is from RNAcentral. Lineage: Eukaryota; Fungi; Ascomycota; Pneumocystomycetes; Pneumocystales; Pneumocystaceae.